UACGGAGGAUCCAAGCGUUAUCCGGAUUUAUUGGGUUUAAAGGGUGCGUAGGCGGAUAAAUAAGUCAGUGGUGAAAGCCUGCAGCUUAACUGUAGAAUUGCCAUUGAUACUGUUUAUCUUGAAUGCAGUUGAGGUGGGCGGAAUAUGACAUGUAGUGGUGAAAUACUUAGAUAUGUCAUAGAACACCGAUUGCGAAGGCAGCUCACUAAGCUACGAUUGACGCUGAGGCACGAAAGCGUGGGGAGCAAACAGGAUUAGAAACCCCUGUAGU
This 271-nucleotide ribosomal RNA is filed under the name uncultured bacterium. Its description in RNAcentral is "partial 16S ribosomal RNA". It matches the Rfam family "Bacterial small subunit ribosomal RNA", at positions 524 to 794 of the family's 1533-position model. The record is from RNAcentral.